CACGUAGGGCGCAAGCGUUGUCCGGAAUUAUUGGGCGUAAAGAGCUCGUAGGCGGACUGUCACGUCUGCUGUGAAAAGCUGGGGCUUAACCCUGGCCUUGCAGUGGAUACGGGCAGACUAGAGGUAGGUAGGGGAGAAUGGAAUUCCCGGUGUAGCGGUGAAAUGCGCAGAUAUCGGGAGGAACACCGGUGGCGAAGGCGGCCAUCUGGCCAAAUACUGACGCUGAGAUACGAAAGUGUGGGGAUCAAACAGG
This 253-nucleotide ribosomal RNA is filed under the name uncultured bacterium. RNAcentral describes it as "partial 16S ribosomal RNA". It matches the Rfam family "Bacterial small subunit ribosomal RNA", at positions 524 to 776 of the family's 1533-position model. The record is from RNAcentral.